This 404-nucleotide ribosomal RNA is filed under the name Verrucomicrobiota bacterium. Its description in RNAcentral is "Verrucomicrobia bacterium partial 16S ribosomal RNA". It matches the Rfam family "Bacterial small subunit ribosomal RNA", at positions 355 to 776 of the family's 1533-position model. Lineage: Bacteria; Pseudomonadati; Verrucomicrobiota. The record is from RNAcentral.
UGGGGAAUAUUGCAAAAUGGGGGAAACCCUGAUGCAGCGACGCCGCGUGAGCGAAGAAGGCCUUCGGGUCGUAAAGCUCUUUUAUGAGGGAAGAUAAUGACGGUACCUCAAGAAAAAGCCCCGGCUAACUACGUGCCAGCAGCCGCGGUAAUACGUAGGGGGCUAGCGUUGUCCGGAAUCACUGGGCGUAAAGGGUUCGCAGGCGGAAUAACAAGUCAGAUGUGAAAGGCAUGGGCUCAACCCAUGUAAGCAUUUGAAACUGUAAUUCUUGAGAAGUGGAGAGGUAAGUGGAAUUCCUAGUGUAGCGGUGAAAUGCGUAGAUAUUAGGAGGAAUACCUGUGGCGAAGGCGACUUACUGGACACAAAUCUGACGCUGAGGAACGAAAGCGUGGGUAGCAAACAGG